RNAcentral lists this ribosomal RNA (253 nucleotides) under uncultured bacterium. RNAcentral describes it as "partial 16S ribosomal RNA". It matches the Rfam family "Bacterial small subunit ribosomal RNA", at positions 524 to 776 of the family's 1533-position model. The record is from RNAcentral.
UACGAAGGGGGCGAGCGUUGUUCGGAAUUACUGGGCGUAAAGGGCGCGCAGGCGGCUCUGAAAGUCAGAUGUGAAAGCCCCGGGCUUAACCUGGGGACUGCGCUUGAGACGUGUGGGCUUGAGUGCGGAAGAGGGAAGCGGAAUUUCCGGUGUAGCGGUGAAAUGCGUAGAUAUCGGAAGGAACACCAGUGGCGAAAGCGGCUUCCUGGUCCAGCACCGACGUUCAGGCACGAAAGCGUGGGGAGCAAACAGG